This is a non-coding RNA of Rhamnusium bicolor, 88 nucleotides long. The record is from the annotation of a GenBank genome assembly. NCBI's taxonomy places the organism in Eukaryota, Metazoa, Arthropoda, Insecta, Coleoptera, Cerambycidae.
GGGUGGCAUAGUUGAUUAGAGUGCACGAUGGCAAGCGUGACUAGAAAUCUCUCUAUCGUAGCUGCGGGUUCGAAUCCCGCCACCGACA